This 497-nucleotide ribosomal RNA is filed under the name uncultured bacterium. Its description in RNAcentral is "partial 16S ribosomal RNA". It matches the Rfam family "Bacterial small subunit ribosomal RNA", at positions 28 to 507 of the family's 1533-position model. The record is from RNAcentral.
GAUGAACGCUGGCGGCGUGCCUAAUACAUGCAAGUCGAGCGAACAGACGAGGAGCUUGCUCCUCUGACGUUAGCGGCGGACGGGUGAGUAACACGUGGAUAACCUACCUAUAAGACUGAGAUCACUUCGGGAAACCGGAGCUAAUCCCGGAUAAUAUAUUGAACCGCAUGGUUCAAUAGUGAAAGACGGUUUUGCUGUCACUUAUAGCUGGAUCCGCGCCGCAUUAGCUAGUUGGUAAGGUAACGGCUUACCAAGGCAACGAUGCGUAGCCGACCUGAGAGGGUGAUCGGCCACACUGGAACUGAGACACGGUCCAGACUCCUACGGGAGGCAGCAGUAGGGAAUCUUCCGCAAUGGGCGAAAGCUUGACGGAGCAACGCCGCGUGAGUGAUGAAGGUGUUCGGAUCGUAAAACUCUGUUAUUAGGGAAGAACAAAUGUGUAAGUAACUAUGCACGUCUUGACGGUACCUAAUCAGAAAGCCACGGCUAACUACGUG